GACAUUCUGCGGUGCCCGUAAGUCUGUGCUUAAUUCAACCGACAUAUCAGACACGGGAAUUUAGUGUUUGAGAGAUAUGACAAGCCUCCUUUGAGUGGACGUCAGAUUCUAUCAACAAGAUACCCACCUUAAAUUAGGGCGGGUCUGAAUUAACUAAUGACUACGACACUCGCGGAUUAUGC
RNAcentral lists this non-coding RNA (182 nucleotides) under Bacillota bacterium. RNAcentral's name for it is "6S RNA". It matches the Rfam family "6S / SsrS RNA". Rfam says of the family: E. coli 6S RNA was the first non coding RNA to be sequenced, but its function was unknown until recently. It consists of 184 nucleotides that fold into an extended hairpin structure with a large single-stranded internal bulge. The 6S RNA specifically associates with RNA polymerase holoenzyme containing the sigma70 specificity factor. The record is from RNAcentral. Lineage: Bacteria; Bacillati; Bacillota.